AUCCCCGGCUGCAGCGGAUCGAAUGGUUGUGGGUUCUGUUGCAGAGGUGGCUGUUGAGGUAGAUUAUUCCAACGAGGAGAAACCAGGGGCGCUAGCGGCGAGAAUCCCGAAAAUUGCCUAUUAGAAUCGACGGCAGAUAUGGAGUUCUGAAGGUAUCGCAGAUAAGCAGAAACCGGAGACUCCGCCGCCGCGUGGACCGCCGGAAACGGAGGUAACGGUGACAGAGGAGCUGAUGGGCGUUGGAUGAAAUUGUUGGUCGCUGCAGCAGUAGGCAUGGGAGGGUUUAUGGAGGCGUUAAGAGGUGGAGGAGGUAGUUGAUGAGGAGGGAUGGCGCUGUUUAUCAAGGGAG
This 349-nucleotide unclassified non-coding RNA is filed under the name Hevea brasiliensis (rubber tree). The record is from RNAcentral. Lineage: Eukaryota; Viridiplantae; Streptophyta; Magnoliopsida; Malpighiales; Euphorbiaceae.